GACGAACGCUGGCGGCGUGCUUAACACAUGCAAGUCGAACGGAAAGGCCCCUUCGGGGGUCCUCGAGUGGCGAACGGGUGAGUAACACGUGAGUAACCUGCCCUUGACUUCGGGAUAACUUCAGGAAACUGGGGCUAAUACCGGAUAGGAAUCCUUGCUGCAUGGUGGGGGUUGGAAAGCUUCGGCGGUUUUGGAUGGACUCGCGGCUUAUCAGCUUGUCGGUGGGGUAGUGGCUUACCAAGGCUUUGACGGGUAGCCGGCCUGAGAGGGCGACCGGCCACAUUGGGACUGAGAUACGGCCCAGACUCCUACGGGAGGCAGCAGUGGGGAAUAUUGCACAAUGGGCGGAAGCCUGAUGCAGCAACGCCGCGUGCGGGAUGACGGCCUUCGGGUUGUAAACCGCUUUCAGCAGGGGCGAAGCUUGUGGUGACGGUACCUGCAGAAGAAGCACCGGCUAACUACGUG
Molecule: ribosomal RNA, 465 nt
Filed under: uncultured bacterium
Lineage: Bacteria
Description: partial 16S ribosomal RNA
Rfam family: Bacterial small subunit ribosomal RNA
Source: RNAcentral